GAUUAUGGCUCAGGAUGAACGCUGGCGGCGUGCUUAACACAUGCAAGUCGAACGAAGCAACUAUCUUGCUUGCAAGAGAGUGACUUAGUGGCGGACGGGUGAGUAACGCGUGGGUAACCUGCCUCAUACAGGGGGAUAACAGUUGGAAACGACUGCUAAGACCGCAUAACCCGCUAGUGUCGCAUGACACGGACGGAAAAUAUUUAUAGGUAUGAGAUGGGCCCGCGUCUGAUUAGCUAGUUGGUAAGGUAACGGCUUACCAAGGCGACGAUCAGUAGCCGACUUGAGAGAGUGAUCGGCCACAUUGGGACUGAGACACGGCCCAAACUCCUACGGGAGGCAGCAGUGGGGAAUAUUGGACAAUGGGGGAAACCCUGAUCCAGCCGACGCCGCGUGAGUGAAGAAGUAUUUCGGUAUGUAAAGCUCUAUCAGCAGGGAAGAUAAUGACAGUACCUGACUAAGAAGCCCCGGCUAACUACGUGCCAGCCGCCGC
RNAcentral lists this ribosomal RNA (493 nucleotides) under uncultured bacterium. Its description in RNAcentral is "bacterial SSU rRNA". It matches the Rfam family "Bacterial small subunit ribosomal RNA", at positions 15 to 518 of the family's 1533-position model. The record is from RNAcentral.